GAUGAACGCUGGCGGCGUGCUUAACACAUGCAAGUCGAACGAACCUUCGGGUUAGUGGCGGACGGGUGAGUAACGCGUGAGAAUCUGCCCUCAGGAGGGGGAUAACGGCUGGAAACGGCCGCUAAUACCCCAUAUGCCGAGAGGUGAAAUGAAUUUCGCCUGAGGAUGAGCUCGCGUCUGAUUAGCUUGUUGGUGGGUAAUGGCCUACCAAGGCGACGAUCAGUAGCUGGUCUGAGAGGAUGAUCAGCCACACUGGGACUGAGACACGGCCCAGACUCCUACGGGAGGCAGCAGUGGGGAAUUUUCCGCAAUGGGCGAAAGCCUGACGGAGCAACGCCGCGUGAGGGAUGAAGGCCUCUGGGCUGUAAACCUCUUUUAUCAAGGAAGAAGAUCUGACGGUACUUGAUGAAUAAGCCACGGCUAAUUCCGUG
This 431-nucleotide ribosomal RNA is filed under the name uncultured bacterium. RNAcentral describes it as "bacterial SSU rRNA". It matches the Rfam family "Bacterial small subunit ribosomal RNA", at positions 28 to 507 of the family's 1533-position model. The record is from RNAcentral.